This 427-nucleotide ribosomal RNA is filed under the name uncultured bacterium. RNAcentral describes it as "partial 16S ribosomal RNA". It matches the Rfam family "Bacterial small subunit ribosomal RNA", at positions 355 to 774 of the family's 1533-position model. The record is from RNAcentral.
UGGGGAAUAUUGCACAAUGGGCGCAAGCCUGAUGCAGCCAUGCCGCGUGUAUGAAGAAGGCCUACGGGUUGUAAAGUACUUUCAGCGGGGAGGAAGGGAGUAAAGUUAAUACCUUUGCUCAUUGACGUUACCCGCAGAAGAAGCACCGGCUAACUCCGUGCCAGCAGCCGCGGUAAUACGGAGGGUGCAAGCGUUAAUCGGAAUUACUGGGCGUAAAGCGCACGCAGGCGGUUUGUUAAGUCAGAUGUGAAAUCCCCGGGCUCAACCUGGGAACUGCAUCUGAUACUGGCAAGCUUGAGUCUCGUAGAGGGGGGUAGAAUUCCAGGUGUAGCGGUGAAAUGCGUAGAGAUCUGGAGGAAUACCGGUGGCGAAGGCGGCCCCCUGGACGAAGACUGACGCUCAGGUGCGAAAGCGUGGGGAGCAAACA